UUCUCAUCCAGAGUGGCAGAGGGACUGGCCCUACGAAGCCACGGCAACCCGCCUUAGGCGGGUGCUAACUCCUGCCCCGAGGCGUCCAGCAGCAUUCGCCGUCGGGGAGAGAUGAGAA
RNAcentral lists this non-coding RNA (118 nucleotides) under Candidatus Zhuqueibacterota. Its description in RNAcentral is "Candidate division SAM-I sequence". It matches the Rfam family "SAM riboswitch aptamer (S box leader)". Rfam says of the family: The SAM riboswitch is found upstream of a number of genes which code for proteins involved in methionine or cysteine biosynthesis in Gram-positive bacteria. The SAM riboswitch acts at the level of transcription termination control. The predicted structure consists of a complex stem-loop region followed by a single stem loop terminator region. Lineage: Bacteria; Pseudomonadati. The record is from RNAcentral.